Molecule: long non-coding RNA, 274 nt
Organism: Sinocyclocheilus grahami
Lineage: Eukaryota; Metazoa; Chordata; Actinopteri; Cypriniformes; Cyprinidae
Exons: 2
Source: RefSeq, a predicted model, not a curated record
CUCGGUGCACUUGAGUAGAGUUCCUCAGGGAGCUUUGCAGAUGCUGUGAAGAGGUGAAGCCCAAAUGAUACAGACUCAGACAUGGAUGCAGCAAUGCCAGAACACCUGAAGCACGCUCCAGGAAGUACCGGGGGUUGUGGAUAUAAAAAAUUAGCCAUAAACAACUUUCACAAACUCUAAAAACAUUUACACCUGUGUUAACCAUUAUCCAGUAUUUGUGUUGUUUACUUGUUUGAUUUAUGACUGUUUAACAAUAAUGCAAGACUGUUUGGGG